Molecule: ribosomal RNA, 293 nt
Filed under: uncultured bacterium
Lineage: Bacteria
Description: partial 16S ribosomal RNA
Rfam family: Archaeal small subunit ribosomal RNA
Source: RNAcentral
GUGCCAGCCGCCGCGGUAAUACCGGCAGCCCGAGUGAUGGCCGAUCUUAUUGGGCCUAAAGCGUCCGUAGCUGGCUGCGCAAGUCCGUCGGGAAAUCCACUCGCUUAACGAGUGGGCGUCCGGCGGAAACUGUGCGGCUUGGGACCGGAAGAUCCAAGGGGUACGUCCGGGGUAGGAGUGAAAUCCCGUAAUCCUGGACGGACCACCGAUGGCGAAAGCACUUCGAGAAAACGGAUCCGACAGUGAGGGACGAAAGCCAGGGUCUCGAACCGGAUUAGAUACCCUGGUAGUCC